RNAcentral lists this unclassified non-coding RNA (18 nucleotides) under Chlamydomonas reinhardtii. RNAcentral describes it as "small RNA Cre_1506". Lineage: Eukaryota; Viridiplantae; Chlorophyta; Chlorophyceae; Chlamydomonadales; Chlamydomonadaceae. The record is from RNAcentral.
CUGGUGAGCACCGAGGGG